UUCCCCAUUCUCUCCUCCCGUUCCCUCAGCCGCCACCACUCCACCAAUCUUCCUCCACCCGCUCCAUGCCGCCACCGCCGCAGAAUAGGCCUCACCUCUCCCGAUCCAUCGACCCCUCUCUUCUCCCCUCUAUGUGUGUCACCCUCUCCCCAUCUUUCCCACGGCCAUGGCCACUAGCCCGUACCCCCACCCCAGUCUAGAUCAUGCCCUCGAGCUAUGGCGGUAGUGGUCGCGGCGGGUCCAUUUCCUCCCAGCGCAGAUUAAUCUACCUUCCUCGGUUGCACUCGAACAGCGCAAACCAAUGAUGCACUGUCCAUCUCAACUAGAUCGACGCCAAUGAGAAGGCCAAGGUGGCGGUAGCGGCGGUGAGCUCAUCAUUCCCUACCACCGGAUUUGGAAGUCUCUAAUGUCCCGUGCGGCGGUCAUAUAUCCAUCUUCGGUCGGCGGCGAGCUAUGGUGAGAUACAGGUGGCGCCGCAGCCACGGAUCUAGCCACUCCCUUCUGCCACCCGCGCUGCAGCGACGGGCGCUGCCUCUGCGGCUUUGCCAGGGGCCUCUGCCCGGCGCUUACAUGUUGCUCCUCGUCCUCAUCUCCGUGGGAAUGGAUUUCUUGGAAGUUGGCCUUGUAGCAUUUCCGCUUCAAGAAAAUGGAGCCAGUGGUUAUGAUCUGUUUUGGCACACAACUUAAUUUGUUAUCUCUAAAACUGUAGCGAGUGUUGAUGUACUGCUCAAGGUAUGUUACUGCUUAGUCUUUAUGAUUUAGCUAGAUUUUUCGUGAUUCUGUGAUAUACUUGCAUGCUUCAUUCUUAAUUAAGAUAUACUAUGUUGCCAAUCCUUCGCUCGUUGGACGUACCCUGAGAUGCACGAUGUGGUCGCCAAUGAGGCGCUCGAGCAGGGGCUCGAGGAGUAGUCCAACUAGCCCACACUCCCGCAGCUCUACAUCGAUGUCGAGUUCACUGGUGGCUGCGACAUCACUGUCGGUGUAUCUCCCUAGCUUUUUAAACAAUUGACUAGUUAAAGAGUAAAAGAAGGACCAAUACUCACACAGGCAAUAUUGAGGAUGGGUUGAUGUGAGAUAUUCGCAUAUAAGGUUUUCCUUGCAAUGAAGUUGGUGGCCACGGCUGGAUCCGCGUCCAAAAAUGCAUGGGGAUGACCCCUGGUUGUCAUUCGACCAGCCUUCAGCAGGUCUGUGGUGCUGCAGAAUUAACACAGGGUUUUGUAGCUUUAAGUUUAUUUUUUGCUAGUACGUAUUUGACAUAUGUAUUGUUCGGCUAUAACUGUAAUUUUAAGUUUUCCGCUAGUACUUGACAGAUGUACUUUUCUUUUAUUGAAUGACAUGAGCAUAUAUUUUAUGAAAUGAGACCGACAUU
Molecule: non-coding RNA, 1369 nt
Organism: Triticum urartu
Lineage: Eukaryota; Viridiplantae; Streptophyta; Magnoliopsida; Poales; Poaceae
Source: RefSeq, a predicted model, not a curated record